Molecule: ribosomal RNA, 394 nt
Filed under: Enoplometopus gracilipes
Lineage: Eukaryota; Metazoa; Arthropoda; Malacostraca; Decapoda; Enoplometopidae
Description: partial small subunit ribosomal RNA
Source: RNAcentral
ACUUAGAAUAAAAAAAAAGAGGCUUGAAUAUUAAUAGUUAUUUUCUUUAAAAUCAAAGAAUUUGGCGGUAAUUUAGUCUUGUUAGAGGAACCUGUUUUAUAAACGAUAAAUCACGUAAAAUCUUACUUGUUUUUGUAAAUGUCAGUUUGUAUACCGUCAUUAUUAGAUAAUUUUGGAAAAAAUAAUUAUUGAGAUUAAUUAUUAAAAACUUAAAUAUAUUAGAUCAAGGUGCAGCUUAUAAACAAGUAAAAAUGGGUUACAAUAAUAUUUAAUUAGAUGAAUAAUAAGAAGAAUAAGUGUUUGAAGGUGGAUUUAAUUGUAAAGAUAGUUUAAUAAGCUAUUUUGAUAUAAGCUCUAAAUUAUGUACAUAUCGCCCGUCGCUUUCAUUUAAAAU